CCUACGGGUGGCUGCAGUGGGGAAUAUUGGACAAUGGGCGAAAGCCUGAUCCAGCCAUGCCGCGUGUGUGAAGAAGGCCUUCGGGUUGUAAAGCACUUUCAGUGGGGAAGAAAGCCUUGGGGCUAAUACCCUCGAGGAAGGACAUCACCCACAGAAGAAGCACCGGCUAACUCCGUGCCAGCAGCCGCGGUAAUACGGAGGGUGCGAGCGUUAAUCGGAAUUACUGGGCGUAAAGCGCGCGUAGGCGGUCUGAUAAGCCGGUUGUGAAAGCCCCGGGCUCAACCUGGGAACGGCAUCCGGAGGCGGGAAGGAAGGAAGACGGGAGGAGAGGGAAGAACGCCGGGUGUAGCGAGGAAAGGAGUAGAGAUCGGGGGGAAAACGAGUGGGGAGGGCGGCCUAUUGAACAGACACUGACGCUGAGGUGCGAAAUCUGGGGUAGCAAACAGGAUUAGAUACCCCAGUAGUC
Molecule: ribosomal RNA, 466 nt
Filed under: Vreelandella stevensii
Lineage: Bacteria; Pseudomonadati; Pseudomonadota; Gammaproteobacteria; Oceanospirillales; Halomonadaceae
Description: partial 16S ribosomal RNA
Rfam family: Bacterial small subunit ribosomal RNA
Source: RNAcentral